UACGUAGGUGGCGAGCGUUAUCCGGAUUUACUGGGCGUAAAGCGCGUGCAGGAGACAAUACAAGUUGGAUGUAAAAUCUCCCGGCUUAACUGGGAGGCGUCGUUCAAGACUGUAUAGCUGGAGUAGCGUAGAGGUAAUCGGAACUCCGGGAGUAGCGGUGAAAUGCGUAGAUAUCCGGAAGAACACCAGAGGCGAAAGCGGAUUACUGGGCGCCAACUGACACUAAGACGCGAAAGCCAGGGUAGCAAAC
This 250-nucleotide ribosomal RNA is filed under the name uncultured prokaryote. Its description in RNAcentral is "partial 16S ribosomal RNA". It matches the Rfam family "Bacterial small subunit ribosomal RNA", at positions 524 to 773 of the family's 1533-position model. The record is from RNAcentral.